RNAcentral lists this ribosomal RNA (706 nucleotides) under Saprolegnia sp. UNCW162. RNAcentral describes it as "eukaryotic LSU rRNA". It matches the Rfam family "Eukaryotic large subunit ribosomal RNA", at positions 37 to 645 of the family's 3401-position model. The record is from RNAcentral. Lineage: Eukaryota; Oomycota; Saprolegniomycetes; Saprolegniales; Saprolegniaceae.
AGCAUAUCAUUAAGCGGAGGAAAAGAAACUAACAAGGAUUCCCCCAGUAACGGCGAGUGAAGCGGGAAGAGCUCAAGCUUAAAAUCUCCAUACUUGUAUGGCGAAUUGUAGUCUAUUGAGGCUGUUGUCAGCAUCGCGAUUGGGGACAAGUCCCUUGGAAAAGGGCAGCAUAGAGGGUGAUACUCCCGUCUCUGCUCCAAUCUGCGGUGUGUACGAUACGCUUUCUUUGAGUCGAGUUGUUUGGGAAUACAGCUCAAAGUAGGUGGUAAAUUCCAUCUAAAGCUAAAUAUUGGUGCGAGACCGAUAGCGAACAAGUACCGUGAGGGAAAGAUGAAAAGAACUUUGAAAAGAGAGUUAAAGAGUACCUGAAACUGUUGAAAGGGAACCGUAUCGUUUCCAGUGUUGUAUCCUAUGCAUAUUUCAUUCGCGGAGUAAUUUGCGGGUGCCCUGUGCAUGGGUGUGACGUCAGGGUCAGUUUGUAUGCUGCGGGAGAUGGUCAGUGAGGAGGUGCGUCACUUCGGUGAAAGUUAUAUCUCGCUGUCUAGUAGCCGUGGUUGAGACUGAGGUGCCUACAACAUGCCUUAAGGUUCCGUGUUGUCUCGUGUUGGUGACUGCUUUGAUAGCUUGCUAUGUCUGUGGUUUAUCAGUGCGAUUGAUGAUGCGGAUAACUUUUGCUGUUCGGGACUCUGGCGAAAUGGAGCGAUAC